AGUGAACGCUGGCGGUAGGCCUAACACAUGCAAGUCGAACGGCAGCACAGUAAGAGCUUGCUCUUACGGGUGGCGAGUGGCGGACGGGUGAGGAAUACAUCGGAAUCUACUUUUUCGUGGGGGAUAACGUAGGGAAACUUACGCUAAUACCGCAUACGGCCUACGGGUGAAAGCAGGGGAUCUUCGGACCUUGCGCGAUUGAAUGAGCCGAUGUCGGAUUAGCUAGUUGGCGGGGUAAAGGCCCACCAAGGCGACGAUCCGUAGCUGGUCUGAGAGGAUGAUCAGCCACACUGGAACUGAGACACGGUCCAGACUCCUACGGGAGGCAGCAGUGGGGAAUAUUGGACAAUGGGCGCAAGCCUGAUCCAGCCAUACCGCGUGGGUGAAGAAGGCCUUCGGGUUGUAAAGCCCUUUUGUUGGGAAAGAAAUCCAGCCGGCGAAUACCUGGUUGGGAUGACGGUACCCAAAGAAUAAGCACCGGCUAACUUCGUG
RNAcentral lists this ribosomal RNA (492 nucleotides) under uncultured bacterium. RNAcentral's name for it is "partial 16S ribosomal RNA". It matches the Rfam family "Bacterial small subunit ribosomal RNA", at positions 29 to 507 of the family's 1533-position model. The record is from RNAcentral.